GUUUCCAGUGGAACAACUGGGAACUGCCAAGAAGGGGGUCUGUUUAUAAAAGAGCAUCAACUCGCUUAGGCCAUGACGUUCACCCAUCCCUUCCUCUGGAGCAACCGCUGCCCUGUGAAUAAGAGCCGAUGGAGGAGAUCUCAGCUUCGGUGGUGAUGACAGAACAUGAUUUCGGUUCUGCUCCUAAACCAGGUGCACUGGAUGCUGCUGCUGUAAACAUACAGCAAUUGGAAGAAACAGUCAAGGCGCUGAUGAGAGCUGUCACAGCUGAAAGUGCAUUUUCACAGAUUCUGUGUCUCAGACGCGGACAUCCUUUUUUACACCAGAUUCACGUCAAGAGAUGUUUUUUGUGACUUCUGGGAGGUUAUUCAACCAUCUGCCUCCAUGUUGGUUUAUUGGUCGAAAGCUCAGAAAAUAAACAAACAUUUGAACCCAUUUCUCCCAGUCCAACGUGUAGACUGCAACUGGUUGAGUUUUUUCUCUUCUGCUGCCGGGUUGCUGCAGGCCUGCAAGAGAAGGUGCUGGCUGACAUGUUUCAGAGCUGACUGAACGAAGUGGACUGCUGGAUUUACUGGAGCCAGGAGAUGGCUGCAUGGCAGACAAGGGUUUCACCAUCGAGAAGCCACUAGCUGAUCGUGGGGCAACGCUGAUUAUACCACCCUUCAAGAUGACAGUUCACUGAAGAGGAUGCUCUGAAAACACAAGCAAUCGCUCGACUUCGAAUCCUCGUAGAAAGAGCAAUAGGCAGAGUCAAGGAAUACCGCAUCUGGGAACGCACUGUCCUUUCACCUUGUCUGCGACAGUCAAUCAGCUGUGGACCGUCUGCUGUGUGAUGACCAACUUCCAGGGACCACUUGAUUUAAAAGGCUACAUCCCUGUUGAAUAGUGUUUCUACUCAAACAUGUACCUAUAAAUAUUAAAUAUAAUAUAUAAAUAUUAAAACGAGAGGCACUGAACAUUU
Gadus morhua (Atlantic cod) is the source of this 961-nucleotide long non-coding RNA. RefSeq lists it as uncharacterized. Lineage: Eukaryota; Metazoa; Chordata; Actinopteri; Gadiformes; Gadidae. The transcript has 4 exons. The record is from RefSeq and is a predicted model, not a curated record.